CCUACGGGAGGCAGCAGUGAGGAAUAUUGGUCAAUGGGCGGGAGCCUGAACCAGCCAAGCCGCGUGAGGGAAGAAGGUACAGCGUAUCGUAAACCUCUUUUGUCAGGGAACAAAGGCGGGGACUAGUCCCCGGCUGAGGGUACCUGAAGCAAAAGCAUCGGCUAACUCCGUGCCAGCAGCCGCGGUAAUACGGAGGAUGCGAGCGUUAUCCGGAUUUAUUGGGUUUAAAGGGUGCGCAGGCGGCCUGUUAAGUCAGCGGUAAAAGCCCGGGGCUCAACCCCGGCGAGCCGUUGAAACUGGCGGGCUGGAGUGGGAGAGGAGAACGCGGAAUGCGCGGUGUAGCGGUGAAAUGCUUAGAUAUCGCGCAGAACCCCGAUUGCGAAGGCAGCGUACCGGCUCCACACUGACGCUGAGGCACGAAAGCGUGGGAAUCGAACAGGAUUAGAUACCCCUGUAGUC
This 459-nucleotide ribosomal RNA is filed under the name uncultured bacterium. Its description in RNAcentral is "partial 16S ribosomal RNA". It matches the Rfam family "Bacterial small subunit ribosomal RNA", at positions 338 to 795 of the family's 1533-position model. The record is from RNAcentral.